GGCUGGAGUUGUUUCCAUCUGCAACCUGCCCUUGCCAGUGAGGGGAUGAUGAUAUUUCUUGAGACUGAUAGCUACCAGGAUAUCCCCACCCUUUUCUUCUAUUAUUAUACUGGCUACCUGCUGCCAUCUUCCCUAAAGGUGAUCCAUGACAACUACCCCUUGAUGGUGAUGAAGGGCCAUAAUUUCCUGGAGAACCAGCAGAGAUCUGACUAUACAUGCUAGGAGGAGUAAACUGUGAUGGGCUCGUCCCAAGAGACAUAGGAACAAAAUUUCCUGGGCUGACACCAAGCCCAUUCCCAGGAGGGAGCGAACUUGUAACAUUAUGCGCAUUAGAGUAACCAACACUCACACUGCUUGAACCUUGCUGUCUGGGAUUUGAGUUACUGUGUAGAUGCAAUAGAGAGCCACCAAAGACAGGAGAAUUGGCUUGGCUGGAGUUGUUUCCAUCUGCAACCUGCCCUUGCCAGUGAGGGGAUGAUGAUAUUUCUUGAGACUGAUAGCUACCAGGAUAUCCCCACCCUUUUCUUCUAUUAUUAUACUGGCUACCUGCUGCCAUCUUCCCUAAAGGUGAUCCAUGACAACUACCCCUUGAUGGUGAUGAAGGGCCAUAAUUUCCUGGAGAACCAGCAGAGAUCUGACUAUACAUGCUAGGAGGAGUAAACUGUGAUGGGCUCGUCCCAAGAGACAUAGGAACAAAAUUUCCUGG
This 706-nucleotide long non-coding RNA is filed under the name Nicotiana benthamiana. RNAcentral describes it as "long non-coding RNA (NBEN_LNC028035)". The record is from RNAcentral. Lineage: Eukaryota; Viridiplantae; Streptophyta; Magnoliopsida; Solanales; Solanaceae.